GAUGAACGCUGACAGAAUGCUUAACACAUGCAAGUCAACUUGAAUUUGGGUUUUUAACUUAGAUUUGGGUGGCGGACGGGUGAGUAACGCGUAAAGAACUUGCCUCACAGCUAGGGACAACAUUUAGAAAUGAAUGCUAAUACCUGAUAUUAUGAUUUUAAGGCAUCUUAGAAUUAUGAAAGCUAUAAGCACUGUGAGAGAGCUUUGCGUCCCAUUAGCUAGUUGGAGAGGUAACAGCUCACCAAGGCGAUGAUGGGUAGCCGGCCCGAGAGGGUGAACGGCCACAAGGGGACUGAGACACGGCCCUUACUCCUACGGGAGGCAGCAGUGGGGAAUAUUGGACAAUGGACCAAGAGUCUGAUCCAGCAAUUCUGUGUGCACGAUGAAGUUUUUCGGAAUGUAAAGUGCUUUCAGUUGGGAAGAAAAAAAUGACGGUACCAACAGAAGAAGUGACGGCUAAAUACGUGCCAGCAGCCGCGGUAAUACGUAUGUCACAAGCGUUAUCCGGAUUUAUUGGGCGUAAAGCGCGUCUAGGUGGUUAUGUAAGUCUGAUGUGAAAAUGCAGGGCUCAGCUCUGUAUUGCGUUGGAAACUGUGUAACUAGAGUACUGGAGAGGUAAGCGGAACUACAAGUGUAGAGGUGAAAUUCGUAGAUAUUUGUAGGAAUGCCGAUGGGGAAGCCAGCUUACUGGACAGAUACUGACGCUGAAGCGCGAAAGCGUGGGUAGCAAACAGG
This 735-nucleotide ribosomal RNA is filed under the name uncultured Fusobacterium sp. RNAcentral describes it as "bacterial SSU rRNA". It matches the Rfam family "Bacterial small subunit ribosomal RNA", at positions 28 to 776 of the family's 1533-position model. Lineage: Bacteria; Fusobacteriati; Fusobacteriota; Fusobacteriia; Fusobacteriales; Fusobacteriaceae. The record is from RNAcentral.